RNAcentral lists this ribosomal RNA (970 nucleotides) under Samsoniella hepiali. Its description in RNAcentral is "SSU rRNA". It matches the Rfam family "Eukaryotic small subunit ribosomal RNA", at positions 125 to 1106 of the family's 1831-position model. Lineage: Eukaryota; Fungi; Ascomycota; Sordariomycetes; Hypocreales; Cordycipitaceae. The record is from RNAcentral.
UAGUACCUUACUACUUGGAUAACCGUGGUAAUUCUAGAGCUAAUACAUGCUAAAAAUCCCGACUUCGGAAGGGAUGUAUUUAUUAGAUUAAAAACCAAUGCCCUCUGGGCUCCUUGGUGAUUCAUAAUAACUUUUCGAAUCGCAUGGCCUUGCGCCGGCGAUGGUUCAUUCAAAUUUCUUCCCUAUCAACUUUCGAUGUUUGGGUAUUGGCCAAACAUGGUCGCAACGGGUAACGGAGGGUUAGGGCUCGACCCCGGAGAAGGAGCCUGAGAAACGGCUACUACAUCCAAGGAAGGCAGCAGGCGCGCAAAUUACCCAAUCCCGAUUCGGGGAGGUAGUGACAAUAAAUACUGAUACAGGGCUCUUUUGGGUCUUGUAAUUGGAAUGAGUACAAUUUAAAUCCCUUAACGAGGAACAAUUGGAGGGCAAGUCUGGUGCCAGCAGCCGCGGUAAUUCCAGCUCCAAUAGCGUAUAUUAAAGUUGUUGUGGUUAAAAAGCUCGUAGUUGAACCUUGGGCCUGGCUGGCCGGUCCGCCUCACCGCGUGUACUGGUCCGGCCGGGCCUUUCCCUCUGUGGAACCUCAUGCCCUUCACUGGGUGUGGCGGGGAAACAGGACUUUUACUUUGAAAAAAUUAGAGUGCUCCAGGCAGGCCUAUGCUCGAAUACAUUAGCAUGGAAUAAUGAAAUAGGACGUGUGGUUCUAUUUUGUUGGUUUCUAGGACCGCCGUAAUGAUUAAUAGGGACAGUCGGGGGCAUCAGUAUUCAAUUGUCAGAGGUGAAAUUCUUGGAUUUAUUGAAGACUAACUACUGCGAAAGCAUUUGCCAAGGAUGUUUUCAUUAAUCAGGAACGAAAGUUAGGGGAUCGAAGACGAUCAGAUACCGUCGUAGUCUUAACCAUAAACUAUGCCGACUAGGGAUCGGACGAUGUUAUUUUUUGACGCGUUCGGCACCUUACGAGAAAUCAAAGUGC